Long non-coding RNA from Meriones unguiculatus (Mongolian gerbil), 389 nucleotides. RefSeq lists it as uncharacterized. Lineage: Eukaryota; Metazoa; Chordata; Mammalia; Rodentia; Muridae. The transcript is spliced from 3 exons. The record is from RefSeq and is a predicted model, not a curated record.
AGCAAGUCAUGAGGAGCAAGCCAGUAAGCAGCACCCCUCCAUGGCCUCUGCAUCAGCUCCUGCCCAGGUUCCUGCCCUGUUUGAUUUCCUGUCCUUAAUUCCUUUAGUGAUAGACAGGGUCUCAUGGAACUGCUCAAGUUGCUCUGACACAACCCUCCUCCUGUCUUGGCUUCCAAAUGACAGAAUUACAGCUGCACGGUACUCUUGCCUGGCUAUUUGCUAAUACAUUGAACCUCCCUCAACACAGUUCAGGGUAGAGCGUUACCUGCUAGCAAGUUCACAUCUUGGACUCCAGCCACGGAGCAUCCUGCUCUCCCUUCCAGGGCCCUUCGAGAGCAAUGAGCUGCCAGAAGACCCUAAUCACAUGCGUGCUGUCAUCUGGAAAUGAU